Molecule: long non-coding RNA, 390 nt
Organism: Cebus imitator (Panamanian white-faced capuchin)
Lineage: Eukaryota; Metazoa; Chordata; Mammalia; Primates; Cebidae
Exons: 5
Source: RefSeq, a predicted model, not a curated record
GUUAGGAGCAGAGAGAUCAGCAUCAGCAAUGGUAAAAAUUACUGUACCUUGGUUUGAGUGAGUCAAAGGAGAAUGGAUGUCCUUGUUCUGUCUUGAGAAUUCCGCUAUGGUCACAUGCUCUGUUUGCACCAUGCUUAGGAAGGAGCAUGUGGACCAAUAAUGAAUGGCUUGUGCUGAUUGAAGCGUUCUUCCCUGGUGACAUGCUGUGGCUGCCUCUUGAUUGGGAGCAUGCAGACCAAUGAAUGAAUGGAGGAAAGGAAGACCAGUCCUGGAUUGCUGAUGACUACUGGUGGCGUAUAGGUCAUAGACAGUGAACGGUUGCAUUUUGUGGAUUUAAGGAUUCCUCCAAGGUCAUGUGCUCUACUUGCACCAUUUUUAGGAUGGAGCCUG